Molecule: ribosomal RNA, 255 nt
Filed under: uncultured bacterium
Lineage: Bacteria
Description: partial 16S ribosomal RNA
Rfam family: Bacterial small subunit ribosomal RNA
Source: RNAcentral
UACAGAGGUCUCAAGCGUUGUUCGGAUUCAUUGGGCGUAAAGCGCGUGUAGGCGGCCCGGUAAGUCCGCUGUGAAAGUCGGGGGCUCAACCCUCGGAUGCCGGUGGAUACUGUCGGGCUCGAGUACGGAAGAGGCGAGUGGAAUUCCUGGUGUAGCGGGUGAAAAUGCGCAGAUAUCAGGAGGAACACCAAUUGCGAAGGCAGCUCGCUGGGACGUUACUGACGCUGAGACGCGAAAGCGUGGGGAGCAAACAGG